Molecule: ribosomal RNA, 783 nt
Filed under: uncultured bacterium
Lineage: Bacteria
Description: bacterial SSU rRNA
Rfam family: Bacterial small subunit ribosomal RNA
Source: RNAcentral
AAGUCGAACGAAGCUUGACGGAUGAUUUCUUCGGAAUGAAACCAGAUAUGACUUAGUGGCGGACGGGUGAGUAACACGUGAGCAACCUGCCUUUCAGAGGGGGAUAACGGCUGGAAACGGUCGCUAAUACCGCAUGACGUGUUCGGAUGGCAUCAUCUGAACAUCAAAGAUUUAUCGCUGAAAGAUGGGCUCGCGUCUGAUUAGAUAGUUGGUGGGGUAACGGCCUACCAAGUCUACGAUCAGUAGCCGGACUGAGAGGUUGAACGGCCACAUUGGGACUGAGAUACGGCCCAGACUCCUACGGGAGGCAGCAGUGGGGAAUAUUGCACAAUGGGGGAAACCCUGAUGCAGCAACGCCGCGUGAAGGAUGACGGUUUUCGGAUUGUAAACUUCUUUUCUUAGUGACGAAGACAGUGACGGUAGCUAAGGAAUAAGCAUCGGCUAACUACGUGCCAGCAGCCGCGGUAAUACGUAGGAUGCAAGCGUUAUCCGGAUUUACUGGGUGUAAAGGGAGCGCAGGCGGGACUGCAAGUUGGAUGUGAAAUACCGUGGCUUAACCACGGAACUGCAUCCAAAACUGUAGUUCUUGAGUGAAGUAGAGGCAAGCGGAAUUCCGAGUGUAGCGGUGAAAUGCGUAGAUAUUCGGAGGAACACCAGUGGCGAAGGCGGCUUGCUGGGCUUUAACUGACGCUGAGGCUCGAAAGUGUGGGGAGCAAACAGGAUUAGAUACCCUGGUAGUCCACACUGUAAACGAUGAUAGCUAGGUGUGGGGGGUCUGACCCC